Zalophus californianus (California sea lion) is the source of this 1526-nucleotide long non-coding RNA. RefSeq lists it as uncharacterized. Lineage: Eukaryota; Metazoa; Chordata; Mammalia; Carnivora; Otariidae. The transcript has 3 exons. The record is from RefSeq and is a predicted model, not a curated record.
AAAAUCUGUGAAACUGUUCCCACCCAGAGGAGCCUCAGGAGACUUGAUGACUAAUCGAAACGUGGUAUCCUGGAUGGGAUCCUGGAAUAGAAACAUGACAUUAGCCUGCAGAACAGACCCCCCCCAGGGACAAGCCCGCACCUUUCCUGGACUUCUCUGGCUGGCCUUCGAACCCUCUUCCCUUAUUUGAACAUUUCUCUCUCAUCUGCCUUUGCCUGUGGCUCUCGGGUCCUGCACACGCAAAGGCACCCCAAAGGCAAUGGGACCUAAGAUUGAUUUUAAAAACUCCUGCUUUUGGUUUUUCCCAACUGCAAAAUCCCCACGAGAACAGAGAAUAAGUACAAGCUGCACAUACUUCUACCACCGGAGGAACGUAACUGCUGAAAGGCAAACUCUGGAUCCUGGGAAUCUAGAAUGACCUUUGUUGGUCUAGCUUCUGCCUCACCUCCCUGUUUUACGUCGAUCCACUGAACUUAAUUCAACACCGGAAUGUCCAUAACGUCUUGCGCAGACUAUCGGUGGGAGGUGAGACCUCGGAGAGUCCAUUCACCUCUCUUUCUCCAGAUGUGAGAACUGGCCCGUUCUUCCUGUCCCAGCCCAAUCGCAGCUGCCUUUGAUCUUAAGCUGUGUGAAAACAGCCAUUCAAAUUCUAGUCAUUUCCACCAGAGCAAGUGGGGUCAGAACCAGCUGUGUUUCUAGAUGCCCAUGCACCUAGAUAUGAACAGAGCGCUGGGGGCCCGUGAGAACAGCCGACGGGGGCCAUCCUGGAUUGGAUCUCUGUCCCAGCACUCGUUAGCUGUGUGACAGUGAGUGGAUCAUACUGUCUGCAGCCAAGAACCCAUGGCCCCGUGUAGCCUCUCCCAGCUGAAAGGGAGGUUGUGAGGACUGAAGAAGAGAAGCAGGGAGAGUGCUUGGCACAGUGUCUAGCACAUAGUAAGCACCCAAUAAAAGAUAAUGCUUGGCUAAUAAAUAUAACGAUAAUAGCAGACUUCCUAAUUGAUGUUCUGCUGGGAUCCCAGGUACCUGUGUUUUGCUGUUCUUUGCUGUCACCUAGCAGGCUCCCAUUGGGUGGCACUGAAGCCCAUACACGGACCCAGCUCCCACUGGGGAGUCAUCCCAGACGGUUUCUGGAAGCUGGACUUGUCCCCUGAGCACCUGAGUAUCUCAUCUAGAUCACCCUGAGGGCAGGACUCGUGGCUUGUAACAACCUGAGAACAGGGACUAUGUCUUCCAGGUCUGUAUCUUCACUCUCAAAAAAAUCUUUGCUGAAUGAGUGAAUGAAUGAAUGCAAAAAGGACCCUGAUCCAGCUCUAGUUGAAUUUCUUCAUCCUCUCCAGCUCCAGCUAAGUCACUGUUUAAUGUGCCUCUCGCCUGUCUCUGGGGCUCUGGGUCCUCCUGGACGAGGGACUCUCUUCUCUCCUGGUUGCCCAUCCACACCCCGAGCCUCCCACCUGGAGCCGCCCGCCCCUCCCUUGGCAGGAACAGUGGAGGCUGAGGUAGACCUGAGCUGAGGCAGACCGGGGCUG